AAACAUGUCUUUUUGAUAAUGAUUUAAAGUCUAAUCUGCCCACUGAUNAAAUUAUUAAAGGGCUGCAGUAUUUUGACUGUACAAAGGUAGCAUAAUCAUUAGUCUCUUAAUUGGUGACUUGUAUGAAGGAUUGGAUGAGAUAUAUACUGUCUCUAAUUAAUUUAUAAAAUUUAAUUUUUUAGUAAAAAAGCUAAAAUAAUUUUAAAAGACGAGAAGACCCUAUAGAGUUUAAUAAUUUAUUUAAUUAUUAUUAAUAUAUAAAUUUUAAAAUUAAAAUUAAAUAAAUUAUUUUAUUGGGGUGAUAGAAAAAUUAAAUUAACUUUUUUUUUAUAUUAAACAUUAAUUUAUGAUUAUAUGAUCCAUUAUUAUUGAUUAUAAGAAAAAAUUACCUUAGGGAUAACAGCGUAAUUUUUUUUUUUAGUUCAAAUAGGAAAAAAAGUUUGCGACCUCGAUGUUGAAUUAAGAUAAAAUUUAAAUGCAAA
Molecule: ribosomal RNA, 482 nt
Filed under: Papilio ulysses ulysses
Lineage: Eukaryota; Metazoa; Arthropoda; Insecta; Lepidoptera; Papilionidae
Description: partial 16S ribosomal RNA
Source: RNAcentral